This 121-nucleotide ribosomal RNA is filed under the name Gibellulopsis nigrescens. RNAcentral describes it as "partial large subunit ribosomal RNA". The record is from RNAcentral. Lineage: Eukaryota; Fungi; Ascomycota; Sordariomycetes; Glomerellales; Plectosphaerellaceae.
GGGCAAAGGCGUCGGGAAUGUGGCUCCCCUCCGGGGGAGUGUUAUAGCCCGGCGUGUCAUACCCUUCGGGGGGCUGAGGUACGCGCUUCUGCAAGGAUGCUGGCGUAAUGGUAGCUAGUGA